Non-coding RNA from Phalacrocorax carbo (great cormorant), 1017 nucleotides. NCBI's taxonomy places the organism in Eukaryota, Metazoa, Chordata, Aves, Suliformes, Phalacrocoracidae. The record is from RefSeq and is a predicted model, not a curated record.
CGGGUCCUCUGUGCCUGGGAUCAGAAGCAUCACGUCAUGUGACUCGAGAUGCCACCAGCUGUAAAAGACUGAGUUCACCACCCAACAUGUGUCAGCCUGUGCGUUGCUCAGUCCAUAAAGGAGCUCAGCAGCCGCUGUCAUUGACAGGAGAGGAUCAAUGAUGAGAGUCAAGACUUGCCAGCCUAGGAGUUUACCAGUAUGUGCUGUCCUAACGUACAGCAGCGCUGUCCAUCACCACCAGCUGCCUAUAGACCUGAAAACCCCACUGGAGGCUUUGCGUGUGCUUCCUGCCAGUCAGAGCGAGCACCCACAAUGAUGAGGCAUUACUUCCUCCCCCGCCUUCCCCAGUCCAGAAGAGCUCUUCUCUUUGGUCAGAGAAACUCCUGCACUAAACAGCAUCAGAAAUUGAACCUUGUGCCUGAACUGCAGCUAAAGCAUCAACACUGCUCCCUCAGUAUGUAAAAAAUUAGAGUUAAUUUACCUCUUAAUGCCUUUGCCUCUAUCGAGCACAGCAAGAGACGGAAACUUUUAAUUGAAUAAGCAGCGGCAAAGCCUGUUUGCAGAUGAGACAAGUGAUAUUACAAAGCCUUUACGCAUUGCGUAUUUAUACCACCAACUUCCUGCAACAGCAAGAGGUGUCUCUGGUGAGGAAGACAGAGUAGCAUAGUACAAAAGUCUCACAAAAAAUUGUUACUCUAGCAUAUUUUAGACUAACUCAUUAAUUUCAUUUGUUACCGAAAUUCAUGUCAAGAAAAAAAAAAACUUUUUGUAGCUUGAAAUGUUUGAUUCUUAGGCACUUUGUGUCCUUCUCCUUCAGUAAGUAGGUCAAGCUCAAAGUCUCAAGCUGCACAGGACUUGACAAUACAAAGAAUCCUUCUAACUUUAAACAGCCGAUAGAGCUGAACCUGUCCUUUACCUUCCCAUGACACUGAAGUACAUGCAGCUCUAUUUAGUGUUGCUCUUAGCAAGAUCCUAAAAAUAUCCAAGCUUCUUCUGCAGUGGGUGCAUCAUGAAGAU